Molecule: non-coding RNA, 1613 nt
Organism: Peromyscus maniculatus bairdii (prairie deer mouse)
Lineage: Eukaryota; Metazoa; Chordata; Mammalia; Rodentia; Cricetidae
Source: RefSeq, a predicted model, not a curated record
CCACUUUCCAAACCUAAUGCUCGCUGAAAUAAGUUUUUUUUUCAGUUGUUGAAAAUAUUACAGGAAUUCAGGAAUUAAGAUCUCAAUCCAUGAAUGUCCUAUUUAGACUCCCAUGCUAAUUGUAAGUUCUUUUACAUGACAAAGUGGGUCAACAUCUGGGCUUAAUGGAAGAGUUGUGUUUAAUAAGACCCUAGUUUCAGAAUUUCACUUUGCAGCUAAGAUUUUGGCUGAAAGAUAAGCAAGGCUGGGAAGUGAUUUCCCUUUUUCAUGCUGCUGGAGAGAAGUAAUCAAAGCUUCUUCCAUACUGCUCCCAGGGAAGAGGAGGCAGAUCUAAAAGGGGAACCAGGGGCCAUUGUCCCUUUCCUUCUUAAACAUCUGCUCCCAUGUCAGUGCAGACCUUUCUCCUGCCCCUACCAUCCUUCCAGAAGAGAAGGACAGAGAUACUUUCCUCAUGCAAAGGAUAUGGUAGGAGGUGAUAUCUUUGAGGUUCUCAUUGGUCAUGGUUAACGUUGCCAGCUGGGCAGAUCCUAGAGUCACCUAGGAGACAAACCUCUGAAUGUGUCUGUGUGAGGGAUUAUCUAGACUAAUUAACUGAGGUUGGAAGACACUUUUGAUCAUGUGUGGCAGCAUCCCACAGGCUGGGGUCCUGGGCUGAAGCAAGAGGAGAAGGUGAGCUGAGCACCAGCAUUCAUCUCUCUCUGCUUCCUGACUGUGGAUGCCGUGUGGCCAGCUGCUUCCUGACUGCAGAUGCACAGCAAACAGCUGCCUGCAGCUCCAGCCGUCCUGCCUUCCUGGUGUUGAGGGGCUGCACACUGGACAGGGAACAAAAUAAACCCGUUCUUCCUUACGUUGCUUUAGCCAGAUGUUUCAUACGUCAAUGAGACAAGUAGCUAACCCGGGGCAGAAGCAUCGUUUACAGCAUCUGAGCAAGGUCCCGAUGAGCGCUUCUUCCCUCGGCUACACACUGGAGGAGCAAGAGACUCAGUACUCUCUGGGAAGGUUAACUGGACUUGCAAAACACAGUGUUUGUUCAAUCAACACAGAUGCAUGAGGCUUUGUUCUAGAAUGUGGGGACUCAAUGUUGGGUAGCAUCCACACGGUGAAGGCACUUCCUUGAGCUUCUUCGUAAGGUGGAGCUGGAGUGCUAAGACUCAGACUGCUGGAUUCCUGCCCCACGCCCAGAGCUAGACAAAACAGCCUCAGCAGACAGUUGCCUCUCCAGUUUUAAAGUUCAGCAGGGAAGGAGACAGAAGUUGAAGCUCCUUGGCAAGUGCCUUCAUAUAACAGGAAACAUCCCUGUUUUACGUGAAGCUUAAAACUCUUCGGAUGAAGAGAGUCAGACCUCGGAUUUAUGACACAAGCUGCCUUCCUCAUAGAAACAGCACUUGCCAGGGUGAUAUGUCCCUGGCUGAGGUUCUGAGACAUCACAUUUUAUAGACACCAUUAACCACAGUGUAUUGAUCUGCUGACUCACUAACCAGUCCCACCCCAUCACUGGUGAGUGCAGAAUUUCUAAAGUAUAUGCCCGGCAGAUGAGGGUCAUUUUGAAAGCACAACAUUUUCCUAAUUGACAGCAAACAUCCAGUUUCAAAAUAAUUGACAGUGACGUAAGA